Molecule: ribosomal RNA, 488 nt
Filed under: uncultured bacterium
Lineage: Bacteria
Description: partial 16S ribosomal RNA
Rfam family: Bacterial small subunit ribosomal RNA
Source: RNAcentral
GAUGAACGCUGGCGGCGUGCCUAACACAUGCAAGUCGAACGGAAAGGCCCUAAUUUUGUGGGGUUCUCGAUUGCGGAAGGCGUGAGUAACACGUGAGUAACCUGCCCUUGUCUUUCGGGUAACUUCAGGAAACUGGGGCUAAUAUCGGAUAGGAUCUCCUGCUGCAUGGUGGGGGUUGGAAAGUUUCGGCGGUUGGGGAUGGACUCGCGGGUUAUUAGCUUGUUGGUGGGGUAGUGGCUUACCAAGGCGUUGAGGGGUACACGGCCUGAGUGGGUGAUCGGCCACAUGGGAAGGUGGACAGGGACCAUAGUCCUACGGGAGGCAGCAGUGUGGAACGUGAGGCAAUGGGGGGAAGUAUUACACAGCGAGCCCGAGUGUGUGACGACGGCGUUCGGGUCGUAAAGCCGUCUUGUGGGGUAAGAACCGCUGUCGCCUGAGACGAAGCGUUAGUGACGGUAACGAAUAAAGAAGCACCGGCUAACUACGUG